This 257-nucleotide long non-coding RNA is filed under the name Ictidomys tridecemlineatus (thirteen-lined ground squirrel). Its description in RNAcentral is "lncRNA (ENSSTOG00000033631.1)". The record is from RNAcentral. Lineage: Eukaryota; Metazoa; Chordata; Mammalia; Rodentia; Sciuridae.
CGCCGGGGGCGUGGUGAGGAGGCCGCGGCGGGUAGGGUUGGUGGGAGCGGGGUCUGCGCCGCUCGCUCUUCAGGUCCGAGGUGAGGAGCGUCCUGCUUAAGGUCAGAGCUCCUGGGGACAGCCGGCGUACACCCCCUUCCAGGAUGGCUAAAGGAGAGUACAUCUGAUAUCAUAUGAAAGCUGAUCAAGACUGAAUAUAGAACCAUGAAGUUUUACCUUGGAACUGGUUGCUGCUUCCAUGUUCUCCUUUUCUUGUU